This 450-nucleotide ribosomal RNA is filed under the name uncultured bacterium. RNAcentral's name for it is "SSU rRNA". It matches the Rfam family "Bacterial small subunit ribosomal RNA", at positions 26 to 518 of the family's 1533-position model. The record is from RNAcentral.
AGAACGAACGCUGGCGGCAGGCUUAACACAUGCAAGUCGAACGCUUCACCCUCGGGUGGAGAGUGGCAGACGGGUGAGUAACACGUGGGAACGUACCCCUUUGUUCGGAAUAACCCUGGGAAACUAGGGCUAAUACCGGAUACGGCCGAGAGGCGAAAGGUUUACCGCAGAGGGAUCGGCCCGCGUCCGAUUAGCUAGUUGGUGAGGUAAUGGCUCACCAAGGCGACGAUCAGUAGCUGGUCUGAGAGGAUGAUCAGCCACAUUGGGACUGAGACACGGCCCAAACUCCUACGGGAGGCAGCAGUGGGGAAUAUUGGACAAUGGGCGAAAGCCUGAUCCAGCCAUGCCGCGUGAGUGAUGAAGGCCCUAGGGUUGUAAAGCUCUUUUGUGCGGGAAGAUAAUGACGGUACCGCAAGAAUAAGCCCCGGCUAACUUCGCGCCAGCAGCCGC